GAUGAACGCUGGCGGCGUGCCUAAUACAUGCAAGUCGAGCGAACAGAUGAGGAGCUUGCUCCUCUGACGUUAGCGGCGGACGGGUGAGUAACACGUGGAUAACCUACCUAUAAGACUGGGAUAACUUCGGGAAACCGGAGCUAAUACCGGAUAAUAUAUUGAACCGCAUGGUUCAAUAGUGAAAGACGGUUUUGCUGUCACUUAUAGAUGGAUCCGCGCCGCAUUAGCUAGUUGGUAAGGUAACGGCUUACCAAGGCAACGAUGCGUAGCCGACCUGAGAGGGUGAUCGGCCACACUGGAACUGAGACACGGUCCAGACUCCUACGGGAGGCAGCAGUAGGGAAUCUUCCGCAAAGGGCGAAAGCUUGACGGAGCAACGCCGCGUGAGUGAUGAAGGUCUUCGGAUCGUAGAACUCUGUUAUUAGGGAAGAACAAAUGUGUAAGUAACUAUGCACGUCUUGACGGUACCUAAUCAGAAAGCCACGGCUAACUACGUG
RNAcentral lists this ribosomal RNA (497 nucleotides) under uncultured bacterium. RNAcentral's name for it is "partial 16S ribosomal RNA". It matches the Rfam family "Bacterial small subunit ribosomal RNA", at positions 28 to 507 of the family's 1533-position model. The record is from RNAcentral.